GGUCAUUUUCAGUAAGUAAGCGGAAGAGCAUAUCAAUAAGCGGAGGAUUUAUCUUGGUCAAUUAGAGGAAGUAAAAGUCGUAACAAGGUCUCCGUUGGUGAACCAGCGGAGGGAUCAUUAUAGAGUUUUCUAAACUCCCAACCCAUGUGAACUUACCAUUGUUGCCUCGGCAGAAGCUGCUCGGUGCACCUUACCUUGGGACGGCCUACCCUGUAGCGCCUUACCCUGGAACGGCUUACCCUGCAACGGCUGCCGGUGGACUACCAAACUCUUGUUAUUUUAUGGUUAUCUGAGCGUCUUAUUUUAAUAAGUCAAAACUUUCAACAACGGAUCUCUUGGUUCUGGCAUCGAUGAAGAACGCAGCGAAAUGCGAUAAGUAAUGUGAAUUGCAGAAUUCAGUGAAUCAUCGAAUCUUUGAACGCACAUUGCGCCCAUUAGUAUUCUAGUGGGCAUGCCUGUUCGAGCGUCAUUUCAACCCUUAAGCCUAGCUUAGUGUUGGGAGCCUACUGCUUUUGCUAGCUGUAGCUCCUGAAAUACAACGGCGGAUCUGCGAUAUCCUCUGAGCGUAGUAAUUUUUAUCUCGCUUUUGACUGGAGUUGCAGCGUCUUUAGCCGCUAAACCCCCCAAUUUUUAAUGGUUGACCUCGGAUCAGGUAGGAAUACCCGCUGAACUUAAGCGUAUCAAUAAGCGGAGGAA
This 696-nucleotide ribosomal RNA is filed under the name uncultured Xylariales. RNAcentral's name for it is "eukaryotic LSU rRNA". The stretch from base 316 to 469 matches the Rfam family "5.8S ribosomal RNA". Lineage: Eukaryota; Fungi; Ascomycota; Sordariomycetes; Xylariales. The record is from RNAcentral.